UUUUGUUUUUAUAUGGCAAGUAUAUUAUGGUUUUAAAUGUUUCUCUUUCUUUUUCUUCUCCAACAGGUGACACAAACGACGGAAAUCUGAAAUUAUGCAAACGGAAGGAAAUUUCUAGGACAACGGACUUGGACGACAAACUUAAGGACAAAAUGGUGGAAUUCUCGUGAAAAUCUGCAAGAAAAUUAAUGAUUGCACCAAUUGAAAUAUGGAGGAAUGCUACUAAUGAGGAUAAUUUGGACUGGGGGAAAAAAACUAGCCGGGAAAUGGAUGGACUGGAUGAAAACAAACUUUCUCUAGGAGGCUGAUUAACAAAUGAGGACGGAGAACUAUCAGCGGAAAAACAACAAUCAUAUUCACAAGUAGAACACUAAGAG
This is a long non-coding RNA of Aedes aegypti (yellow fever mosquito), 377 nucleotides long. RefSeq lists it as uncharacterized. Lineage: Eukaryota; Metazoa; Arthropoda; Insecta; Diptera; Culicidae. The transcript has 2 exons. The record is from RefSeq and is a predicted model, not a curated record.